AAGUCGUAACAAGGUCUCCGUAGGUGAACCUGCGGAGGGAUCAUUAACAAAUCAAACACACACCCUGUGUAAGCGUCUGUUCCUGGCUGGGUCAAGUGGGGAGUGCGUAUGAAAGUGGGAUCAUGGGGGGAAGCGGGCAACCGCCGAUACCACCACCGAAUCGCGCCCACCAGGAUCAACAACCAAACCAUAUCAUGAUUGUCAGCUGUAUUACAAAGUGUAAUUACAAACAACUUUUAACAAUGGAUCUCUUGGCUCUU
Molecule: unclassified non-coding RNA, 260 nt
Filed under: fungal sp.
Lineage: Eukaryota; Fungi
Description: partial internal transcribed spacer region
Rfam family: Eukaryotic small subunit ribosomal RNA (bases 1-46)
Source: RNAcentral